RNAcentral lists this ribosomal RNA (817 nucleotides) under uncultured Alphaproteobacteria bacterium. RNAcentral's name for it is "bacterial SSU rRNA". It matches the Rfam family "Bacterial small subunit ribosomal RNA", at positions 84 to 938 of the family's 1533-position model. Lineage: Bacteria; Pseudomonadati; Pseudomonadota; Alphaproteobacteria. The record is from RNAcentral.
AGCAAUACUUAGUGGCAGACGGGUGAGUAACAUGUGGGUAUCUACCCUUUGGCCUGGAAUAACACGAGGAAACUUGUGCUAAUACCGGAUAAGUCUUUACGGAGAAAGCUUUAUGCACCAUUGGAUGAGCCCGCACUUGAUUAGUUUGUUGGUAGGGUAAUGGCCUACCAAGACUAUUAUCAAUAGCUGAUUUGAGAGGAUGAUCAGCCACAUUGGGACUGAGACACGGCCCAAACUCCUACGGGAGGCAGCAGUGGGGAAUCUUGCACAAUGGAGGAAACUCUGAUGCAGCGAUGCCGCGUGAGUGAAGAAGGCCUUUGGGUUGUAAAGCUCUUUCGUCGGGGAAGAAAAUGACUGUACCCGAAUAAGAAGGUCCGGCUAACUUCGUGCCAGCAGCCGCGGUAAUACGAAGGGACCUAGCGUAGUUCGGAAUUACUGGGCUUAAAGAGUUCGUAGGUGGUUGAAAAAGUUGGUGGUGAAAUCCCAGAGCUUAACUCUGGAACUGCCAUCAAAACUUUUCAGCUAGAGUAUGAUAGAGGAAAGCAGAAUUUCUAGUGUAGAGGUGAAAUUCGUAGAUAUUAGAAAGAAUACCAAUUGCGAAGGCAGCUUUCUGGAUCAUUACUGACACUGAGGAACGAAAGCAUGGGUAGCGAAGAGGAUUAGAUACCCUCGUAGUCCAUGCCGUAAACGAUGUGUGUUAGACGUUGGAAAUUUAUUUUCAGUGUCGCAGGGAAACCGAUAAACACACCGCCUGGGGAGUACGACCGCAAGGUUAAAACUCAAAUGAAUUGACGGGGACCCGCACAAGUAGUGGAGC